GACUACAAAACGCGCCGGAACUUCAGCACAAGCCUCAGUUUAGACCGACGGUGAAAGUGAGGAGUCCUUUCGCGGAAGAAACGCAAAAGACCCUGCAGAAAAACAUAUACCCUGUUGGGAAUCAAAACUACUUCCUCAAGCAACAAGGAUUGCCCUGAGCCACCUCCGUCAGCAAUGAUUUUGCCUCACACUUGGCACAGAACUAGAAGCUAUCAGUUGAAAAACCCUCACUAUGGUCUCAUUACAUGGAUGAACUGUCUGCAUCUGCACUCUACAUCAACUCUGGCAGACUCAAAGACCUGCCCCUGGUGCUGCUCUCUGCUAAAUCCCAAUUUCCUCUGCUCUACCCAGUCCUUCCAUCUGCACUCAGACUUGUUCUCCUAUCUUUAAUUCUCCCAUCUUCCUAUCUACAUCCCACACCCUCACUCCCUCCCCCAACUCCUCAAAUGAAUAUCUGACUCUAUUGUUCAUGACAGCUUGAUCUUCUGGGAGCUCUUUCCACCCAGUGGCAAGCCCUCAUAUCCUUUCAUUGAUCAGCCCAACCCAAACCAGUUUCUGUCUCUACCACAAGACCAAUAAAGUUGGGGCUGCGUGGGUGGCUGCAUCGGUUGGGCGUUUGCCUUUGGCUCGGGUUGUGGUCCCAGGGUCCCGGGGGGCCUGGGAUGAGGCCCCACAUUGGGCUCCCUGCUCGGUGGGGAGCCUGA
This is a long non-coding RNA of Canis lupus familiaris (dog), 704 nucleotides long. RefSeq lists it as uncharacterized. Lineage: Eukaryota; Metazoa; Chordata; Mammalia; Carnivora; Canidae. The record is from RefSeq and is a predicted model, not a curated record. The transcript has 3 exons.